GUGGGGAAUUUUGGACAAUGGGCGAAAGCCUGAUCCAGCCAUGCCGCGUGCAGGAUGAAGGCCUUCGGGUUGUAAACUGCUUUUGUACGGAACGAAAAGACUCCUUCUAAUAAAGGGGGUCCAUGACGGUACCGUAAGAAUAAGCACCGGCUAACUACGUGCCAGCAGCCGCGGUAAUACGUAGGGUGCAAGCGUUAAUCGGAAUUACUGGGCGUAAAGCGUGCGCAGGCGGUUAUAUAAGACAGAUGUGAAAUCCCCGGGCUCAACCUGGGAACUGCAUUUGUGACUGUAUAGCUAGAGUACGGUAGAGGGGGAUGGAAUUCCGCGUGUAGCAGUGAAAUGCGUAGAUAUGCGGAGGAACACCGAUGGCGAAGGCAAUCCCCUGGGCCUGCACUGACGCUCAUGCACGAAAGCGUGGGGAGCAAACAGGAUUAGAAACCCCAGUAGUCC
Molecule: ribosomal RNA, 450 nt
Filed under: uncultured bacterium
Lineage: Bacteria
Description: partial 16S ribosomal RNA
Rfam family: Bacterial small subunit ribosomal RNA
Source: RNAcentral